GACGAACGCUGCGGCGUGCCUAAUACAUGCAAGUAGAACGCUGAAGAGAGGAGCUUGCCCUUCUUGGAUGAGUUGCGAACGGGUGAGUAACGCGUAGGUAACCUGCCUUGUAGCGGGGGAUAACUAUUGGAAACGAUAGCUAAUACCGCAUAACAAUGGAUGACACAUGUCAUUUAUUUGAAAGGGGCAAUUGCUCCACUACAAGAUGGACCUGCGUUGUAUUAGCUAGUAGGUGAGGUAACGGCUCACCUAGGCGACGAUACAUAGCCGACCUGAGAGGGUGAUCGGCCACACUGGGACUGAGACACGGCCCAGACUCCUACGGGAGGCAGCAGUAGGGAAUCUUCGGCAAUGGGGGCAACCCUGACCGAGCAACGCCGCGUGAGUGAAGAAGGUUUUCGGAUCGUAAAGCUCUGUUGUAAGUCAAGAACGAGUGUGAGAGUGGAAAGUUCACACUGUGACGGUAGCUUACCAGAAAGGGACGGCUAA
Molecule: ribosomal RNA, 489 nt
Filed under: Streptococcus sp. oral taxon C65
Lineage: Bacteria; Bacillati; Bacillota; Bacilli; Lactobacillales; Streptococcaceae
Description: bacterial SSU rRNA
Rfam family: Bacterial small subunit ribosomal RNA
Source: RNAcentral